GGCGAAGCCGACGGAGGGGGAAGACGCCGGCUAGCCCGAACUCCCCCCUCCGGCCUUCGGCCG
RNAcentral lists this small RNA (63 nucleotides) under Caulobacter vibrioides NA1000. RNAcentral describes it as "small non-coding RNA". The record is from RNAcentral. Lineage: Bacteria; Pseudomonadati; Pseudomonadota; Alphaproteobacteria; Caulobacterales; Caulobacteraceae.